RNAcentral lists this ribosomal RNA (466 nucleotides) under uncultured bacterium. RNAcentral describes it as "bacterial SSU rRNA". It matches the Rfam family "Bacterial small subunit ribosomal RNA", at positions 33 to 507 of the family's 1533-position model. The record is from RNAcentral.
GGACGACGCUGGCGGCGUGCUUAACACAUGCAAGUCGAACGGUGACCCAGGGCUUGCCCUGGUGAUCAGUGGCGAACGGGUGAGUAACACGUGGGCAACCUGCCCCUGACUUCGGGAUAACUCCUCGAAAGAGGAGCUAAUACCGGAUACGACCACUUCGGACAUCCGAUGGUGGUGGAAAGUUUUUCGGUCAGGGAUGGGCCCGCGGCCUAUCAGCUAGUUGGUGGGGUAAUGGCCUACCAAGGCGACGACGGGUAGCCGGCCUGAGAGGGCGACCGGCCACACUGGGACUGAGACACGGCCCAGACUCCUACGGGAGGCAGCAGUGGGGAAUAUUGCGCAAUGGGCGAAAGCCUGACGCAGCGACGCCGCGUGAGGGAUGAAGGCCUUCGGGUUGUAAACCUCUUUCAGCAGGGACGAAGCGAAAGUGACGGUACCUGCAGAAGAAGCACCGGCUAACUACGUG